Non-coding RNA from Microcebus murinus (gray mouse lemur), 442 nucleotides. NCBI's taxonomy places the organism in Eukaryota, Metazoa, Chordata, Mammalia, Primates, Cheirogaleidae. The record is from RefSeq and is a predicted model, not a curated record.
AUCAUCUGACCCUUUCCAGGCUGAGAACAAACCACUAGUUGUCCUGGUGGAGUUUCCCAAGCAGGGGGAGGAGUCCUUCGGGGGAUAAAUAAGCAUCAGCCCUCGUGGACAGCCCGUGGACUCCAGGCGCCACUCUGCGAUCCACCAGCUACAGCCGCUGCCUGAGGCAGGUAACCCGUGACGCUUCACGCAGGGAGCAGACGGACCCGUUUUCCCAGGAGAGUUCUAGGCUGUGUGGGGCAGGACGGGCCAGGAGCAGAAGUGGUCCACAACAAACAGAACUCCUGCAGGGGCGAUUACUGAGAGAACGGGUAGGACUGAUCGUUAUCCAUCACUGGGGAAACAGUGGGAAUAGAGUGGAGAGUGCAGAAAAUGUUACCCCUCCUGGCUCUGGGGCUCUUGGUGGCCGGGGUCUGCCCUGCUGUCCUCUGCCACCCAGGCG